Molecule: transfer RNA, 69 nt
Filed under: Marmota monax (woodchuck)
Lineage: Eukaryota; Metazoa; Chordata; Mammalia; Rodentia; Sciuridae
Description: tRNA.Ala
Source: RNAcentral
GCCUGUGGCUCAGUGGAAAAGCCCUUGCCUGGCGUGUGUGAGGCCCUGGGUUCGAUUCUCAGCACCGCG